CAGCUAAGGUCCCAAAGUCAUGGUUAAGUGGGAAACGAUGUGGGAAGGCCCAGACAGCCAGGAUGUUGGCUUAGAAGCAGCCAUCAUUUAAAGAAAGCGUAAUAGCUCACUGGUCGAGUCGGCCUGCGCGGAAGAUGUAACGGGGCUAAACCAUGCACCGAAGCUGCGGCAGCGACACUAUGUGUUGUUGGGUAGGGGAGCGUUCUGUAAGCCUGUGAAGGUGGCCUGUGAGGGUUGCUGGAGGUAUCAGAAGUGCGAAUGCUGACAUAAGUAACGAUAAAGCGGGUGAAAAGCCCGCUCGCCGGAAGACCAAGGGUUCCUGUCCAACGUUAAUCGGGGCAGGGUGAGUCGACCCCUAAGGCGAGGCCGAAAGGCGUAGUCGAUGGGAAACAGGUUAAUAUUCCUGUACUUGGUGUUACUGCGAAGGGGGGACGGAGAAGGCUAUGUUGGCCGGGCGACGGUUGUCCCGGUUUAAGCGUGUAGGCUGGUUUUCCAGGCAAAUCCGGAAAACCAAGGCUGAGGCGUGAUGACGAGGCACUACGGUGCUGAAGCGACAAAUGCCCUGCUUCCAGGAAAAGCCUCUAAGCAUCAGGUAACAUCAAAUCGUACCCCAAACCGACACAGGUGGUCAGGUAGAGAAUACCAAGGCGCUUGAGAGAACUCGGGUGAAGGAACUAGGCAAAAUGGUGCCGUAACUUCGGGAGAAGGCACGCUGAUAUGUAGGUGAAGCGACUUGCUCGUGGAGCUGAAAUCAGUCGAAGAUACCAGCUGGCUGCAACUGUUUAUUAAAAACACAGCACUGUGCAAACACGAAAGUGGACGUAUACGGUGUGACGCCUGCCCGGUGCUGGAAGGUUAAGAGGAGAGGUUAGAGCAAUCGAAGCUUUGAAUUUAAGCCCCAGUAAACGGCGGCCGUAACUAUAACGGUCCUAAGGUAGCGAAAUUCCUUGUCGGGUAAGUUCCGACCUGCACGAAUGGCGUAAUGAUGGCCAGGCUGUCUCCACCCGAGACUCAGUGAAAUUGAACUCGCUGUGAAGAUGCAGUGUACCCGCGGCAAGACGGAAAGACCCCGUGAACCUUUACUAUAGCUUGACACUGAACAUUGAGCCUUGAUGUGUAGGAUAGGUGGGAGGCUUUGAAGUGUGGACGCCAGUCUGCAUGGAGCCGGCCUUGAAAUACCACCCUUUAAUGUUUGAUGUUCUAACGUUGGCCCGUAAUCCGGGUUGCGGACAGUGUCUGGUGGGUAGUUUGACUGGGGCGGUCUCCUCCUAAAGAGUAACGGAGGAGCACGAAGGUUGGCUAAUCCUGGUCGGACAUCAGGAGGUUAGUGCAAUGGCAUAAGCCAGCUUGACUGCGAGCGUGACGGCGCGAGCAGGUGCGAAAGCAGGUCAUAGUGAUCCGGUGGUUCUGAAUGGAAGGGCCAUCGCUCAACGGAUAAAAGGUACUCCGGGGAUAACAGGCUGAUACCGCCCAAGAGUUCAUAUCGACGGCGGUGUUUGGCACCUCGAUGUCGGCUCAUCACAUCCUGGGGCUGAAGUAGGUCCCAAGGGUAUGGCUGUUCGCCAUUUAAAGUGGUACGCGAGCUGGGUUUAGAACGUCGUGAGACAGUUCGGUCCCUAUCUGCCGUGGGCGCUGGAGAACUGAGGGGGGCUGCUCCUAGUACGAGAGGACCGGAGUGGACGCAUCACUGGUGUUCGGGUUGUCAUGCCAAUGGCACUGCCCGGUAGCUAAAUGCGGAAGAGAUAAGUGCUGAAAGCAUCUAAGCACGAAACUUGCCCCGAGAUGAGUUCUCCCUGACCCUUUAAGGGUCCUGAAGGAACGUUGAAGACGACGACGUUGAUAGGCCGGGUGUGUAAGCGCAGCGAUGCGUUGAGCUAACCGGUACUAAUGAACCGUGAGGCUUAACCUU
RNAcentral lists this ribosomal RNA (1909 nucleotides) under synthetic metagenome. RNAcentral describes it as "bacterial LSU rRNA". It matches the Rfam family "Bacterial large subunit ribosomal RNA", at positions 1036 to 2925 of the family's 2925-position model. The record is from RNAcentral.